CAGGACUGUCCAAAUGGUUUCAAACAAGAAGCUAACAAGUAAAAGGUGUGAGAGUCCUGGAUAUGCAAAUACAAGGGCCAUUUACUUUCUGAGGGAGUUAGAUUGUGACAAUACCUUGGCUCCAUGCAUGCUUUGUCUGCAGUUUGGUGGCUAGGGAAAGAAGUGCUCAGUGAUAGGAGGAUAAGUGUAGAGAAAUACAGAAAGAGACAGAGAGGAGCAAAGAGACAGAGAAAAGAGAAAGUAAAGUUGUUUCCCAUUGACUUAGAAAAUAUGUGGCACAUUUCUGGGAAGGAAGAAGAAAUGUGUACCAGGUUGAGAUUCUGCCACACAGUUUUGAAGCUAGAAUAAAAGUGAAUAUUUUUGGAGGGAAUUCGGAACAUUCAGGAUAUCCUUGUUGGAGUGUCUCAUUGGGACAGAUUGGGACUUGUGGGACUGCAGAGAGGGGCAGAUGGUAGCAAUGAGAUUAGGAAGGGAAACGGGACUAGCCCAACCUGGAUAAAGCCAAACUUUCCCGCAAGAAACUUUAGAAAUAAAGUCACCACUGACUAGGGAGAAAGUAGGUGAGUUCUACAUCAGAGAGUCAGAUCUGACAGGGACUAUACCACCAGAGUGCAAUUGUCCCUCUAUAAUUAGAAAUCUGCUCUCACAAACCUUCUCAGGAUCAUAUUCUGUGGAGACCAACUGGAGUUCAGAAGAAAAUGGUCAAAAACAUUCAGGGAGGAGAGCCAGAAAGCGACAGAGACACCUGAAAAGUUUAUUAGUGUUAAUGGCACACCAAGAGAAAACAGAGUCAUAAAGGCUAAGGCAAAAAAUAUCAUAGAAGUACACUUGAUACUUGAGUUUUGGUGUAUCUACUAACAUGAUUGAAUUAACGACUGUCUUUCACUCAAAUGAAUCCCAAAGCUAAAAGGACACAUAUUGUGUUUACUGGUUUUCAAAAGGGUGUAAUUCUUCAAGUAAGGCCUAUUUGGUGGCCUUAGGGAUCCAUUGGACAAACUGACCUUUGGGUAAGAGGCUGCAGUUCAAGACUAACGGGAGACCCCUGCUCAUGAGCCGGGGAGUCUGCCAUGGCAACUUCUGCUUGCAAGGUUGCAUUUCAGGGAACUAUAAGACUAGAAUGUUACAAGUUGUCUUGGGAGACGUUGGCCAAGAUGGGAAAUAUUUAUACUGGCUUCUCACAUGUACUCAUGUUCCCAGAACAUAUGUCUUGAACUUAGGCUUCCCAUGAAGAGAAAGUGUCAUGAAUGGCAGACAUUCAGAGACAAAGUCAGAUGCACACAGAGACAGGGCAAAACUGAGAGACAGAGAGUUAGAAAGGUGUUGUGUUAGACUGCAUGAAAUCUCUUGUUGUAAAGGCUUAUGAGGAAACCUUAGUGCAAUUUGACCUCAGGCCCAUAGCCUUAGCAUGACAGUGGGUUGCAGCUUCCAGUAGUUUUGGCAGCAGGUUAUCAGACCUGGUCAGGAAAUAGGAGGCAUGGUUUGAACAGUGAACAUGGCCAGAGUUCAGUCCUAACCUUUGAGCUUGAGGAAACAAGGUAUGGUUGCCCUAGUUAGUGACACUAGUAGGAUGGUGAUCAAAUUGACAUUUUCAGAGCUGCUCUUCAGAAUUUUAGGAAGAAACUGCUUGUUGGUAUUGCAGUACCUGGAUGGGUUGGCCAACCAGAAAUUUGUUGAUUGACCUAAGAGAGGGAAAAACAUCAUCUUCAAGGCCAUGAAGAGGAAAAAGAAAAAGAUUGAUACCCAGAGGCAUACUGUGAUUUAUGUGUCAACUCAUGAUAAAGACUUUGGGCAGAAAGGAGGGCUUGAAGAGCACUUGUGACCUGAUCAUCCCAUUGAGACCAAUCAAACCAACCCCUCCCAGAGCCAAUUGCAUCAUUCCUGCUGAAACACUGGCAAGACGAAUUUUGCCCACACAGUGUUGCAACUGUAGAACGUGAGCUCAUAGUGCACAGGGAAUGCCCAGCAACAAACACAUCCCUUGCCUACAGUUGAGGCAAAAGACUGAAUCUCCAGGAGUGAUAUUGCUUGGUGUUGGUGACUUGCAGGAGAUUGCCAAACCAAGGGUACUGCAACAUAAACGAAGAGAAGAUGACUCUCACAAAAACAUUCUAGGAAAAACUAAAAAAAAAAUGAGUCACCCAAGUCCAUGGGAAGUAGGAUAGAGGCUUGAAACCACACCCAUGCACUGUUGACACUUGAAAUCCUACUGUGAAUCAGAAGGCCAGAAGUCCAAGUGCUGCAUCUGUGGCACGCAUGGCCACAGGCCAGAGAGAAUGGCCCAGCACCCCAGGCUAUGCCUACAUCUGAUGGCAGCAGACUGAGCCGCCCGCACUGUCGUCCUCUGAUGUUGGUGACUUGCAGCAGAAGGCCAGAGGACCAAGGUAAGCAUGACAUGAAUUGUCAGCACGAGCUGACGAUUGUGGGGUCUUGGUGGUGCUGCGAGGUGUGCCCAUUCGUGCCUCUAAACCUGUCUGCACCAGCCUGUAGCAGACUUAGGUC
Molecule: long non-coding RNA, 2499 nt
Organism: Microtus ochrogaster (prairie vole)
Lineage: Eukaryota; Metazoa; Chordata; Mammalia; Rodentia; Cricetidae
Exons: 3
Source: RefSeq, a predicted model, not a curated record